RNAcentral lists this transfer-messenger RNA (369 nucleotides) under Adhaeribacter aerolatus. It matches the Rfam family "transfer-messenger RNA". Rfam says of the family: Bacterial tmRNA, also known as 10Sa RNA or SsrA, is named for its dual tRNA and mRNA-like properties. Its role is to liberate the mRNA from a stalled ribosome. The record is from RNAcentral. Lineage: Bacteria; Pseudomonadati; Bacteroidota; Cytophagia; Cytophagales; Hymenobacteraceae.
GGGGCUGACCGGAAUUGACAGCUUGAGCAGGCUGCGUGUAAGCAUGUCGGGAGUUGAAUGAAUCUCCUGUUAAAAAGUCAUUCAAACAACAAUCGGCGAGUCUAACUACGCUAUGGCUGCUUAAUCUAGGUAUUAAGCAAUAGUCAUUGUCCCGCAGCUGCUACUCCAAACCGCGGCUGGGUUCGGGGCAUCGAAAACGCUUGGAUAGCGAUUGCGAAGGUGUGGCGCAACCGCGAAACUAAACACCUAAGGUAAAUUAACAGGUCUGGUGCCGACCUUGAUUUACUCGAAAACCCAACGGCAACUAAGCAUGUAGAAAGCGCGACAGUUUCCUUGUCUGGACCAGGGUUCGACUCCCUGCAGCUCCAC